RNAcentral lists this ribosomal RNA (174 nucleotides) under Phyllodytes punctatus. Its description in RNAcentral is "partial 16S ribosomal RNA". The record is from RNAcentral. Lineage: Eukaryota; Metazoa; Chordata; Amphibia; Anura; Hylidae.
AUGUGAUCUGAGUUCAGACCGGAGUAAUCCAGGUCAGUUUCUAUCUAUAAUGGAGCUUUUUCUAGUACGAAAGGACCGAAAAAGCACGGUCAAUACUUUAUGCAAACCGUAAUUAACAAAAUAUGACUAAAUCUAAAUAAAUUUAUAAUCCACUAAUUGACUCAAAAGAAGAGC